This 497-nucleotide ribosomal RNA is filed under the name uncultured bacterium. RNAcentral describes it as "partial 16S ribosomal RNA". It matches the Rfam family "Bacterial small subunit ribosomal RNA", at positions 28 to 507 of the family's 1533-position model. The record is from RNAcentral.
GACGAACGCUGGCGGCGUGCCUAAUACAUGCAAGUUGAGCGAUGAAGAUUGGUGCUUGCACCAAUUUGAAGAGCAGCGAACGGGUGAGUAACGCGUGGGGAAUCUGCCUUUGAGCGGGGGACAACAUUUGGAAACGAAUGCUAAUACCGCAUAACAACUUUAAACAUAAGUUUUAAGUUUGAAAGAUGCAAUUGCAUCACUCAAAGAUGAUCCCGCGUUGUAUUAGCUAGUUGGUGAGGUAAAGGCUCACCAAGGCGAUGAUACAUAGCCGACCUGAGAGGGUGAUCGGCCACAGUGGGACUGAGACACGGCCCAAACUCCUACGGGAGGCAGCAGUAGGGAAUCUUCGGCAAUGGACGAAAGUCUGAACGAGCAACGCCGCGUGAGGGAAGAAGGUUUUCGGAUCGUAAAACUCUGUUGGUAGAGAAGAACGUUGGUGAGAGUGGAAAGCUCAUCAAGUGACGGUAACUACCCAGAAAGGGACGGCUAACUACGUG